GGAGGGUGAGUUACCUGCUUUGCACAGGGAGCCUGAGGCCCAGGCUUGCAUGGUGUGUCUGCUGCCACCAAGUGGUGAGGGAGCCUGGGAGAGUCUUAGUCUUUCUGGACUUGAGUUUUCUCAUCAGCAAGGUAGGGGCUUAUUUUACCUCUCUGAGGUCCCUUCCUGCACAGUUUUGUCCGAGUUCUUGAGGGACUAAGAUGGUUUUUAACACUUCCUGGACCUGUAACCUGCACUGACCUCUGUGGGUCUGACUCCUGACUGGCCCCUGUGUGUCUCCUGCAGAGCCUGAGCUGAGUCCACACCCUGGAAGCACAGAACCGAGGGAUCAGAUGGAAGAAAGAAAGUCAGCAGGUUUUGGGAAAGAGAAUAACCUGCAAAGGACAAGUCAAUGAUAGAACAGAAAUUGGGUUGGCCACACUGAGGAGACACUUCUCACCUGCCUGAAAUGCCCUUCAUUAUCUUCUUCAAGUUGCAAGGGCUCUGGAACAGCCCUUACAGUGCUCCCAUAAAGGAAUCUCCUGCCUCUGGCCAGGGAGAACCACAGCGUGGAUCACAGCUGGUUUAUAGUAAGGGGCAGCUUCGACUCCAAGAGGGGAAGGAUGUGACCAUCAGCCCCCACCCCAGAUGCAGGAGUCUCGACCUCGUUGCUGCUCUAGCAGUGGAUGCUCUUCAGGUCAGUGUGGAUUAGAGGGAAUAACCGCGCUUGGACAAGUGUUGGAGAUAUCUAUUCUUACAUCAAACAGCUCUGCCCUAGGUCAGGUGCCAGAGUAAUUGUCCCUUGCUUAUAUAUGAAGCAGUGAUACUUAAAAUAUUCUUCUGCACCUUCAGUUGAGGGAAGUUUCUCAUAAAUAUUUAUUGAGUAUUUUUUUUUUUUUUAUGCUGUGCUAAGCACUUGGGAUUCAGGUAUUUACUGUCUCUCUA
Long non-coding RNA from Sapajus apella (tufted capuchin), 924 nucleotides. RefSeq lists it as uncharacterized. The transcript has 3 exons. The record is from RefSeq and is a predicted model, not a curated record. NCBI's taxonomy places the organism in Eukaryota, Metazoa, Chordata, Mammalia, Primates, Cebidae.